UAGUCCAUGCCGUAAACGAUGAACACUCGUGGUGGCCGGUAUUGACCCCGGCCGUCACCUAGCUAACGCGUUAAGUGUUCCGCCUGGGAAGUACGGUCGCAAGAUUAAAACUCAAAGGAAUUGACGGGGACCCGCACAAGCGGUGGAUCAUGUGGUUUAAUUCGAAGCAACGCGCAGAACCUUACCCGGCCUUAACAUCCCAGAGACCAUUCUAGAAAUAGUCUUUUCUCGCAAGAGACUCUGGUGAUAGGUGCUGCAUGGCUGUCGUCAGCUCGUGUCGUGAGAUGUUCGGUUAAGUCCGGCAACGAGCGCAACCCUUAUUUUUAGUUGCCAUCAUUAAGUUGGGCACUCUAGAGAGACUGCUGGUUAUAAACCGGAGGAAGGCGGGGAUGACGUCAAGUCAGCAUGCCCCUUANACCCUGGGCUACACACGUGCUACAAUGGGUNAGACAAUGAGAUGCAAAUCUGCGAAGACAAGCUAAUCUAUAAACUCACUCUAAGUUCGG
Molecule: ribosomal RNA, 506 nt
Filed under: uncultured bacterium
Lineage: Bacteria
Description: bacterial SSU rRNA
Rfam family: Bacterial small subunit ribosomal RNA
Source: RNAcentral